This 254-nucleotide ribosomal RNA is filed under the name uncultured bacterium. RNAcentral's name for it is "partial 16S ribosomal RNA". It matches the Rfam family "Bacterial small subunit ribosomal RNA", at positions 524 to 776 of the family's 1533-position model. The record is from RNAcentral.
UACGGGGGGAGCAAGCGUUGUUCGGAUUUACUGGGCGUAAAGGGCGCGUAGGCGGUCAGCACAAGUCAGUUGUGAAAUCUCCGGGCUUAACUCGGAAGGGUCAACUGAUACUGUGCGACUAGAGUGCAGAAGGGGCAACUGGAAUUCUCGGUGUAGCGGUGAAAUGCGUAGAUAUCGAGAGGAACACCUGCGGCGAAGGCGGGUUGCUGGGCUGACACUGACGCUGAUGCGCGAAAGCCAGGGGAGCGAACGGG